GUUACUGCUAUCGGAGUUCGAGUAAGCCAUGCGAGUCUAAAGGUUUCUUCGGAAACCUUGGCGGACUGCUCAGUAACACGUGGAUAACCUACCCUUAGGACUGGAAUAACCCCGGGAAACUGGGGAUAAUACCGGAUAGAUCAGGGAUGCUGGAAUGCACCUUGAUCCAAGCCCUGGCGCCUAAGGAUGGGUCUGCGGCCUAUCAGGUUGUAGUGGGUGUAACGUACCUACUAGCCGACGACGGGUACGGGUUGUGAGAGCAAGAGCCCGGAGAUGGAUUCUGAGACACGAAUCCAGGCCCUACGGGGUGCAGCAGGCGCGGAACCUUUACAAUGUGCGAGAGCAUGAUAAGGGGACUCCGAGUGCCAGCAUCUAAUGCUGGCUGUCCUUGUGCCUAAAAAGCACAAGAUAGCAAGGGCCGGGUAAGACCGGUGCCAGCCGCCGCGGUAACACCGGCGGCCCGAGUGGUAGCCGCUAUUAUUGGGUCUAAAGGGUCCGUAGCCGGUUCGGUAAGUCCUUUGGGAAAUCUGGUUGCUUAACAAUCAGACUGCCAAGGGAUACUGCUGAACUUGAGACCGGGAGAGGUAAGAGGUACUUCAGGGGUAGGAGUGAAAUCUUGUGAUCCCUGGGGGACCAUCUGUGGCGAAGGCGACUUACCAGAACGGGUCUGACGGUGAGGGACGAAAGCUGGGGGCGCAAACCGGAUUAGAUACCCGGGUAGUCCCAGCCGUAAACGAUGCUCGCUAUGUGUCAGGUACGGUGCGACCGUAUCUGGUGCCGUAGGGAAGC
Molecule: ribosomal RNA, 789 nt
Filed under: uncultured archaeon
Lineage: Archaea
Description: bacterial SSU rRNA
Rfam family: Archaeal small subunit ribosomal RNA
Source: RNAcentral